AUCUUUGCGCAUGGGUAAUCUCUAUCAGUGACGUUUUAACGGAGGUGAGAUUAUUGCUAGUUGAAAACUACCCCAAUGCCCCGCUCUAUGGCUUGCCAUAGGGCAAUUUUUGGAGGAUUGUUUUGCCAAU
Non-coding RNA from Daphnia pulex (common water flea), 130 nucleotides. Lineage: Eukaryota; Metazoa; Arthropoda; Branchiopoda; Diplostraca; Daphniidae. The record is from Rfam.